CAUAGCGACUAUCGUGGCAUAUCAAUAAGCGGAGGAAAAGAAACUAACAAGGAUUCCCCUAGUAACGGCGAGUGAAGCGGGAAGAGCUCAAAUUUGAAAUCUUAAAGGUUCUACCUUGACGAAUUGUAGUUUAUAGAAGUGUUUUCUGUAGUGGAGUUUCGGUAAAAGUUCUUUGGAAUAGGACAUCAUAGAGGGUGAGAAUCCCGUAUUUGAUCGUUACUUUCCAGCUGUGUGAUACACUUUCAAAGAGUCGGAUUGUUUGGGAAUGCAGUCCAAAAUGGGUGGUAAAUUUCAUCUAAAGCUAAAUAUUGGCGAGAGACCGAUAGCGAACAAGUACCGUGAGGGAAAGAUGAAAAGAACUUUGAAAAGAGAGUUAAACAGUACGUGAAAUUGUCAAAAGGGAAGCGUUUGACACCAGUGUUGUUUAGUUGAAAAUCAAUUCAAUAACUUUUGAUUUUGAGUAGUAUUGACUUCAUCAGCUUGCUGCUUUCUUUUCGGAAAUUAUUGAACGCACUUUUCAGUUAACAAGUCAACAUCAGUUUCUUUUGUUGUAAAAAGGUCAUUGGAAGGUGGCUUUCUUUUCGGAGAAAGUGUUUAUAGCCUUUGACUCCUGCAAUCGGAGAGACUGAGGUCUGCAGCGUAGAUCCUUUUUUGGAUUAGAUUCAUUUGUGCUAAGUUAUAGCUUUUUAUAGACAACAUGUUGACUAUAUUUAGUCUUGUAACUUACUCGCUUAUGUAAUUUUACCUACGCUUAGGAUGUUGAUAGUCACAGCGUGUAC
Molecule: ribosomal RNA, 779 nt
Filed under: uncultured Neocallimastigales
Lineage: Eukaryota; Fungi; Neocallimastigomycota; Neocallimastigomycetes; Neocallimastigales
Description: partial large subunit ribosomal RNA
Rfam family: Eukaryotic large subunit ribosomal RNA
Source: RNAcentral